AGUGAACGCUGGCGGUAUGCCUAAUACAUGCAAGUCGAACGGCCAGACGGUAAGCUUUCUCCCCUACCGUUAGCGGCGGGCGGACGAGUGACGCGUGCAUCACCUUCCUCUUAUACUUGGGUAACUUCGUAGAACCACAUCUACUAACGCAUCAUAUGACCAACCGGCUAAUUCAACAGUUCAUGAGACUCUUGCCGACUCUUAUAGCCGGAUCCGGGCCGCAUUAGCUGGUUGGUAAGGUAACGGCUUACCAAGGCAACGAUGCGUAGCCGACCUGAGAGGGUGAUCGGCCACACUGGAACUGAGACACGGUCCAGACUCCUACGGGAGGCAGCAGUGGGGAAUCUUCCGCAAUGGGCGAAAGCCUGACGCAGCCACGCCGCGUGAGUGAAGAAGGUCUUCGGGUUGUAAAGCUCUUUUAUUAGGGAAGAACAAAUGUGUAAGUAACUAUGCCCGUCUUGACGGUACCCAAACAGAAAGCCACGGCUAACUUCGUG
This 497-nucleotide ribosomal RNA is filed under the name uncultured bacterium. RNAcentral's name for it is "partial 16S ribosomal RNA". It matches the Rfam family "Bacterial small subunit ribosomal RNA", at positions 29 to 507 of the family's 1533-position model. The record is from RNAcentral.